ACUGCCUGAGAUUUUAAGUUUAUUUUUCCUGAGAUGAAAGCUGUUCCAGAAAGUCUCUCACUCUCAGCAAAUCCAAGACCAAGGCUGGGAGCCAUAAGAAUUAGCUGCAGGUGCUGAGGGUUUAGAAACUGCUGAAGGGACGAAAGACCAAGGUGUUGGCUCCAGGAAUCUCCUCAGGAAACAAAAGUAUCCCAGAUGCUAGCACACCUGGUAACACAUCCAUAGAGCUGGCCUCUCACAGCAGCAUAGGUGUUUGUGUCACACUUUUCACAUGCUGCUGUUUGCCAACCCAGAGUGCUCUUGGAGAGUUGUGUCCCAGUGAAAAGAUUGGAAAUCCAAUAAUUCCUUGCACUACAGCUGGUGGGACUGCGGCCUUUCUGAUUUUUGUAGCAGCUUCCAGUUCAUGUGUGUGGAAGUGGCCAGGGCAGAGAAUGGGGUCCAUGCCACCCAGAAAUCCUCUUCCCUUGCAGUUUGGUGCUUCACUCAUGAGCCUGUUCAUAGCUCCAUGGGUUUUUAAAAGGAGAUUGGAAAGGUUUGAUGAAACAGAGAGAGAGAAACAGUUUGCAGAAGCACAAAAACAAAUCUACAGAAAUGUUGAUGGAGGUGACACAACUCAUCCCUUCACCUAA
This 629-nucleotide long non-coding RNA is filed under the name Zonotrichia albicollis (white-throated sparrow). RNAcentral describes it as "lncRNA (ENSZALG00000004092.1)". Lineage: Eukaryota; Metazoa; Chordata; Aves; Passeriformes; Passerellidae. The record is from RNAcentral.